RNAcentral lists this ribosomal RNA (253 nucleotides) under uncultured bacterium. RNAcentral describes it as "partial 16S ribosomal RNA". It matches the Rfam family "Bacterial small subunit ribosomal RNA", at positions 524 to 776 of the family's 1533-position model. The record is from RNAcentral.
UACAGAGGGUGCGAGCGUUAAUCGGAAUUACUGGGCGUAAAGAGCGCGCAGGCGGUCGUUCAAGUCGAGUGUGAAAGCCCCCGGCUCAACUGGGGAGGGUCACUCGAUACUGAUCGACUCGAAGGCAGGAGAGGGAAGUGGAAUUCCCGGUGUAGUGGUGAAAUGCGUAGAUAUCGGGAGGAACACCAGUGGCGAAGGCGACUACCUGGCCUGUUCUUGACGCUGAGGCGCGAAAGCUAGGGGAGCAAACGGG